This 392-nucleotide ribosomal RNA is filed under the name uncultured bacterium. RNAcentral describes it as "bacterial SSU rRNA". It matches the Rfam family "Bacterial small subunit ribosomal RNA", at positions 445 to 839 of the family's 1533-position model. The record is from RNAcentral.
GAUAAAGUGCGCCAGCGUGGCGCUUUGCAGGUACCGUGCGAUAAGGACCGGCUAAUUCCGUGCCAGCAGCCGCGGUAAUACGGAAGGUCCGGGCGUUAUCCGGAAUCAUUGGGUUUAAAGGGAGCGUAGGCCGCAUGUCAAGCGUGCUGUGAAAUCCCGGGGCUCAACCCCGGAAGCGCAGCGCGAACUGGCGUGCUUGAGUUGCAUGAGGCAGGCGGAAUUCGUGGUGUAGCGGUGAAAUGCUUAGAUAUCACGAAGAACCCCGUUGCGAAGGCAGCCUAGUCCAGUGCACACUGACGCUGAUGCUCGAAGGCGCGGGUAUCGAACAGGUUUAGAUACCCUGGUAGUCCGCGCGGUAAACGAUGGAUGCCCCGCCUUGGGCCGUUUAGGUC